This 210-nucleotide unclassified non-coding RNA is filed under the name uncultured Tomentellopsis. RNAcentral's name for it is "sequence contains ITS1". The record is from RNAcentral. Lineage: Eukaryota; Fungi; Basidiomycota; Agaricomycetes; Thelephorales; Thelephoraceae.
AUGAAAUGUUUGUCGAGAAGGGUUGUAGCUGGCCUCCAGGGGCAUGUGCACGCUCCGAUCGCAUCCACCCUCCCACACCUGUGCACCACCUGUAGCUUGGGAUGAUCACGGAGCCCUGAUGGGCGACGAAUGCCCUCGUCUAUGAAUAUCUCACACACUCGAAGUAUGACAGAAUGUACAUCAUAUUGCGUCUGAUAAACGCGACAAAUA